This 483-nucleotide ribosomal RNA is filed under the name Triticum aestivum (bread wheat). RNAcentral describes it as "partial small subunit ribosomal RNA". The record is from RNAcentral. Lineage: Eukaryota; Viridiplantae; Streptophyta; Magnoliopsida; Poales; Poaceae.
AUGUCUCACGUCGCAGACUUUUCUUUGCAGGCCAACGAAACCCCGUGCACCAUAUUUUACACCAUCAGCGACCAGAAGGUGGCCGUGGGGAAGGCGACGAUAAUGAAGCCGAAGGAACCAUUGUUCCACAGCCGGCCGAUCCCUCCAAACGUCUUCAAGGUUUCCAGGGCCAGUGUCGAACUGGGCCACGAGAAUUUGCCUCCUCCAACACUACUGGUGGAUGACGAGGAGACACCGCGGCGGCUUGGUGAUUGUUGCAAUGGGUGGGUCCUGUUGUGGCCAAAGAGUCUGCUUCGUCUAGAGGCGGCCGGGAGCACACCCACGAGCACGCAGCCUCAACAAGGUAUGAACAUCAACACCCCACCUACCCAAUUAGCGUCGGGUGUCGGGUUGGGUGAUAGCGGACGGGGUAAGGAGGAGGCUCCAUUAGUCACUGAUGACAUCGCCAUGGAUGAGGAUGAGGAUGACGAUGGCGCUGAAUAG